Ruditapes philippinarum (Manila clam) is the source of this 840-nucleotide long non-coding RNA. RefSeq lists it as uncharacterized. The record is from RefSeq and is a predicted model, not a curated record. Lineage: Eukaryota; Metazoa; Mollusca; Bivalvia; Venerida; Veneridae. The transcript is spliced from 5 exons.
GUACAUGUGCUGGGAUUGACAAAUAUGCAUUUUAUUUGGAUUUUAAAGGUGUUUUGAGCUCCAAACCCCAAGUGUCUGUGCGUUAAUUGAUACAGACAUCCAGGAUAUUUUGAAGAAAUUGUGUGUGAUAUAACAAACUGUUGUGUGAGGUUUUUAAUUUGACAUGGUCAAGACAUACUAUGAUAGUAUUGUUCAGUAUUACUUCUGUCAUGUUACUGUUUGAUAACAGUUAAGGUACAGUAGGUUCAGACAAGUUAUAUACAUGUAUACAGGACAAGACAGCUCAAACUGGCAGUUUGUUAUAGCAAAAAGUGAUGAAGUUUCAGCCUAGAAGUCUUCAUGAUGAUGAUGGUGAUCCUAGUUAUAGAUUCUUUGCAAUUAUCUGUAAGGAAGGGGUUUCUGCUGCAGAGAAGAAAAAAAUUCAUGCAGUAAGAAGUUGCCCACUCUGUUCAAAUGAAGCUGUCUGAAGUACCCAGUAGAACAAUGUAUUAUUUCUGGAACAACUUAAUUGAAGUGAAGCUUACUAUGUGAAGGAGUUAUUUCUGUAUUCAAAAGGAAACUUCAGCAUACAGAAUACCAAUUGAGAUAUUUGUAGCUUCAGUUAUGGGAGAACAUAAGAUUAAUUGAACUGGAAUCCCUUCAGACGUUGACAUAGCUAAAUUCCACAGUUUCAACUAUAAAUGGACAUUGAAAUAAUUAUACAUUGGUUUUAUUUUAUACAUGUAUCUGUUAAUAUUUUUGUUUUCAAAUAUUUCCCAAUAUUGUUAAUUUUGGAUAAUAUAAUGCCACAGAAAACUUGUCGGUCUUGGAGUAUGGCUGUUUAACAAAAAACACUGCAGA